CCUAUGGAGGCAGCAGUAGGGAAUCUUCCACAAUGGACGAAAGUCUGAUGGAGCAACGCCGCGUGAGUGAAGAAGGGUUUCGGCUCGUAAAGCUCUGUUGGUAGUGAAGAAAGAUAGAGGGAGUAACUGGCCUUUAUUUGACGGUAAUUACUUAGAAAGUCACGGCUAACUACGUGCCAGCAGCCGCGGUAAUACGUAGGUGGCAAGCGUUGUCCGGCUUUAUUGGGCGGAAAACGAGUGCAGGCGGGUUCAUUAAGC
Molecule: ribosomal RNA, 258 nt
Filed under: uncultured bacterium
Lineage: Bacteria
Description: partial 16S ribosomal RNA
Rfam family: Bacterial small subunit ribosomal RNA
Source: RNAcentral